RNAcentral lists this unclassified non-coding RNA (407 nucleotides) under Melitaea cinxia (Glanville fritillary). RNAcentral's name for it is "misc RNA ENSMCXG00005007871.1". The record is from RNAcentral. Lineage: Eukaryota; Metazoa; Arthropoda; Insecta; Lepidoptera; Nymphalidae.
AAAGAAAUAUUUGUACAAAUAUAAAUCGCUAGUGACUAUUAACAUCGUCGGAACUGCAAAAUUGCAUUUUUUUAUUUAUUUCAUAGAACGUUCCCAAAUAACCAAGUCUAUCAUCAGCUGAAGAGAAAUUUUUUAUUUUAUGCAUAUAUUAUUUAGUUGUGGUACUUCUGACAAAUCAGUACCUAUUAGUCUUAAUCUGUUAAAAAUGUAACAAGUGACUUUUCUCAUAUUUACACAUUAAAUACCGGCUACCUGUACAGCAUUACUUUAAAAUUUCAUGAUCCUGCUUAAAAUAAGUAAAAAGAUACACGCCAUUUACACUUUGAAUCGCUCUCCUGUAAAGUUGCUGUUUUUCACAUCCGACGUUUUUAAUAGUCAUAGGUGAAAUAUCCUUCCCGAGCUGGAAU